RNAcentral lists this ribosomal RNA (449 nucleotides) under uncultured bacterium. RNAcentral describes it as "partial 16S ribosomal RNA". It matches the Rfam family "Bacterial small subunit ribosomal RNA", at positions 29 to 523 of the family's 1533-position model. The record is from RNAcentral.
AACGAACGCUGGCGGCAUGCCUAACACAUGCAAGUCGAACGAGAUCUUCGGGUCUAGUGGCGCACGGGUGCGUAACGCGUGGGAAUCUGCCCUUUGGUUCGGAAUAACAGUUGGAAACGACUGCUAAUACCGGAUGAUGACGAAAGUCCAAAGAUUUAUCGCCAGAGGAUGAGCCCGCGUAGGAUUAGCUAGUUGGUGUGGUAAAGGCGCACCAAGGCGACGAUCCUUAGCUGGUCUGAGAGGAUGAUCAGCCACACUGGGACCGAGACACGGCCCAGACUCCUACGGGAGGCAGCAGUGGGGAAUAUUGGACAAUGGGCGAAAGCCUGAUCCAGCAAUGCCGCGUGAGUGAUGUAGGCCUUAGGGUUGUAAAGCUCUUUUACCCGGGAUGAUAAUGACAGUACCGGGAGAAUAAGCUCCGGCUAACUCCGUGCCAGCCGCCGCGGUAA